RNAcentral lists this signal recognition particle RNA (300 nucleotides) under Sinocyclocheilus rhinocerous. Its description in RNAcentral is "Metazoan signal recognition particle RNA (ENSSRHG00000020894.1)". It matches the Rfam family "Metazoan signal recognition particle RNA". Rfam says of the family: The signal recognition particle (SRP) is a universally conserved ribonucleoprotein. It is involved in the co-translational targeting of proteins to membranes. Lineage: Eukaryota; Metazoa; Chordata; Actinopteri; Cypriniformes; Cyprinidae. The record is from RNAcentral.
GCCGGGUUCAGUGGCGGCGCCUGUAAUCCAAGCUACCGGGAGGCUGAGGCUGGCGGAUCGCUUGAGUUCAGGGCUUCUUCUGGGCUGCAGUGGACUAUGUCGAUCGGGUGUCCGCACUAAGUUCGGUAUCGAUAUGGUGCUCCUGGGGGAGCUCGGGACCACCAGGUCGUCUAAGGAGGGGUGAACCGGCCCAGGUCGGAGACGGAGCAGGUCAAAGCCCCCGUGUCGAUCAGUAGUGGGAUUGCGCCUGUGAAUAGACACUGCAGUGCAGCCUGAGCGAGACAGCGAGACCCAGACUUU